AUAGUACAAGUGGCAGAAGCCUGUGUGGGCAAGUGAUCCGCACCCAGAAAGGCAAAAAUCAGCAGUUUGGUAACAGUGAGGAGAGGCCAAGCUCCUUGGAAGGGGUCUCAUCUACUUCCCUCCUGGCUUUCAGCACCAGAUGAAUCUGAAGGUCACAGUAAAGAAACAGGGAUAGCUGGACAGGGUUUCUCUGUGUAACCCUGGCUGUCCUGGAACCCACUCUGUAGACCAGGCUGGCCUCGAACUCGGAAAUCCACCUGCCUCUGCCUGCAAAACUCUUUAGAGGAACAAAAAGGACUAACAGGGGAGAAGAGGAGAAGGAGGUGCAUUCAGACUCAUCCCAUACCUGUGUGAGAACGCUCUUAGUCUAGGACUCCGGCCAAUGAAGGUGCCACCCACAUUCAGGAGUUACUCGUUGGGUCUCUGGGGUUUAAACCUAGCUUGACCAGAAAACAGGCUGCCUUUCAAGAUCCCACAGAGGAAAACCUGGGCUGCUAAUGGGAAGCCAGAAGAGGAUUUCCCCGGCCUGCAGAAGAUGUGUUCCCAGGCAUGUGUCAUCUACACUACACGGGGUGGAUUAUUUUUAGCACAAAUGUGCACACACACCAUAUGACAAAAUUAUUUUCAGAAAUAAGUGUGAAACGAAGCAUGGAAUAAAAUCCUAGGCAGUAAA
Long non-coding RNA from Mastomys coucha (southern multimammate mouse), 673 nucleotides. RefSeq lists it as uncharacterized. The transcript has 4 exons. Lineage: Eukaryota; Metazoa; Chordata; Mammalia; Rodentia; Muridae. The record is from RefSeq and is a predicted model, not a curated record.